This 3783-nucleotide long non-coding RNA is filed under the name Sus scrofa (pig). RNAcentral's name for it is "lncRNA (ENSSSCG00030066283.1)". Lineage: Eukaryota; Metazoa; Chordata; Mammalia; Artiodactyla; Suidae. The record is from RNAcentral.
UUUUUUUUUUUUUUUUUUUUUUUNUUCAGAUUUGAAGUAUUAUAAACUCUACUCCAUGUGUAACAUAGCUUUGAUGAAAUAAAGUAUUCAGGUAACCAGGUAGAUUAGUGAGAUCACUGAGAAUACUAAGUUCGUUGUUAAGAAGGGUUGUUAGUUUGUCAUGUCCCUCUGCAUUAUUUCUCUUGAUUCUUGCCCACAUGCCUCAAAGAUUUGGAGAUGUGGGCAGUUUGGCAGGGGACUUUUCUGGCUGGGAAGUGCAUCAGCAGUGCCAGGAAAGAGCCAGUUGUCUCAUGGCCUAGGGAUGGAGGCAGGCAGGCUCUCUAGGCAGGAGCAUUCAGUGUAGAAUGGGAGUGGCUCUGGGUCAAAGGGAAUUCCUCUCAAACCAACAGCACCUUAGGUCGAAAGUUACUUUUAAUGAGCCCUUCUGGUUGGGGUCCAUCUCUCCCAGUGAAAAACAUUCCCACUGAUUGCCUUGGAGAUCACAACCAACUUUGAAUCAAGUUCAUAGCAAUGUACAGCAAAUUUUAUUUAUACUCUCACAGAGAGAGUGGGCCAUCAUGGAGUGGGGACUGGCUCUGUUUAUAGCUGGUUCUUUCCUUAUACCCCAUACAGUAGACAUAUUCAGAGACCUGAAUUCUCCCACCCUAGGCUCACUAAUUUUUUUCUGUCCCAGCCUCCCUGCAUUGUGCAUAAGGGCUGAGUGUAGUUUGACCUCUGUAUGGAGCCACACUGUGAUCCUCUGAUUGAUGUCAUGGGGAGUGUGUUAUAGGGAAGUGCUCUCCAAAAAGCAUGGCUCAUUUGAAUAGAGCAGUGCUCUCCAAGGAGCAUGCCCCUAGUAUCUGUGUGUGUCCUUAUUGUCUGGUCAUAGGCCUCCUGUUUUUGGUCAUGAUGAAUGGCCUGUUCUGGGUACCCAUGUAUGAUUCCCUAGCCUUUCCUACCUAACCAGUUGUUAGGGAGAGAGCUAAGAGAAGGUGGCUGAAGAAGUUUCCAGAGAUCCAGCGUAAACAACUUUUGAUGAGAACUGUGUUGAUUAGUCUGCUCAGACUGCCACAGCAAAAUACCACCAACUGGAUGGCUUUAAAAAAGUAUCAUCUCACAGUUUAGGAAGCUAGAUGUCCAAGACCAAGGUCCCAGCUGCCUCACUUUUUGGCGAGGAUGUUUUCCUGGCUUGCAGACAGCCUCCUUGUCAAUAUAUCCCCAAAUGGCCUUUCCUGGAUGUGCUCAUGGUGUCCCUUCUUAUAAAGACAUUGUUCCUAUCGGAGCAAGACCCGCACAUUACAUCAUUUAACCUUCGUUGCUUCCUUAGAGGCUCCAUUUCCAAAUGUAGCCACACUGACCACUAGGACUUCAACAUAUGCAUUUGGGCGCGGGGGGGGAGGAAGUCCAUUAAUUUCAUAACACUGGGCAUCUCACUGUAAGCUAUAAACCAAGAAGGAGUAGUCAAACGUGUUUCUCAAAUCCAGUUUCUUAGCCACCUGUGUUCAACUCAUCUACCAAAUCCAGGGGUUCUACUCACAUAUUUACUGAAAUAACUUCUAGGAUUUGGACAAAAAUACCAGUUUUAAAUAAGACAAGGUGAUUAAUUUAUAUACCAAAUAUUGAGAAUCAUAACUUUAAAAACUUAAAAAGAGUUGAUACCAGAGGCAAUUGGAAGCUUCCUUCAGAGAGAGUAUUUUAUUGAGCACUUACUAACUUCUGUGUAUAAAUGCAAGUGUUGACAAGGAAGAAUUUUUUUUUCCCUUCUAAGAAUUAAGUUUACAUGAGAUGAAUUAACAGGAGAAAAAAAUUAAUGAUAUCUAUACAAGGGAGAGACCCAGGAAAACUGAAGAACCCCUAAAAAGACAAAAGAGGAUGGGAGGGCCUGGUGUGGCUCAUCAGGUAAGAACCCAACACAGUGUCUGUGAGGAUGCAGAUUUGAUCCCUAUACUUGCUCACUGGGUUAAGGAUCCAGUGUUGCUGCAAACUGUGGUGUAGGUCACACAGAUGCAGCUCAGAUCCCAUGUUACUGUCGUUGUUGAGUAGGCCGGCCACUGCAGCUCUGAUUCUAACCUUAGCCUAGGAACUUCCAUAUGCUACAGGUAUGGCCAUUAAAAAAAGAGAAAAAUUAAAUGAAGAGGCCAUUGGGGGCAGUGGUUUGGGACUUCAAAGGGAAGAAUCACAUUUAUAUGGAAAAACAAAUUUUUGGUAAAUAAUUGUUUGUUGGGCCAUGAAGAGACAAUAGUGGACUUUGGUCCUAAAUCACAUUGAGUUUCACCACCACACCUAGCUCGUACUCUUGGCAAAUACCUCUGGUGUUAGCUUUCAUCUGGAAUAGGACCUUUAUCCAAUGAAGUAGUUAAGACAGAUGUAACGAGAACAAUUUCCUGAGUCAUCUUUUAUGUAUUUAUUUUUGAAAAUUUAUUUUUAUCUAAAUUUUUAAAAAUUGAGGUAUCAUUGACUUACAAUAUGAUAUUAGUUUCAGGUGUAAAACAUAGUGAUUUGAUCAUUUUAUAGAUUACAUACCAUAAAAGUUAUAAUAUCAUUCACUCUAUUCCCUUUGAUGAACAUUACAUCCUAUGAAGUAUUUACUUUAUAACUAGUGGUUUGUACCUCUUAAUCCCUUUCACUGUUAUACCCAUCCCCUAACCUAAUCCCUUUUGGCAACCAACAGUUCAUUCUUUGUACUUCUAUUUUCAUUUGUUUCAAAGUAUUUUUCAAUUUUUUGAUUUCUUUGUUAAUUCAUUUGUUUUUUAGUAGCAUGUGGUUUAGUUUCAAUGUGUUUUGUUUUUUUCCCUCUUUAUUCCUUUAAUUGAUUCCUAAUUUUAUGCUAUCAGUUCACUAAAGAUGCUUGAUAUGGUUUCAAACUUCUAAAUAUAUUGAGACUUGUUUUGUGAUCUAGUAUGUGAUCUAUCCUGGAAAAUGUUCAAUAUUCACUUGAAAAGAAUAUAUAUAGGAGUUACCAUCAUGGAUCAGUGGUAGCAAAUCUGACUAGUAUCCAUGGGAACACAGGUUUAAUCCCUGGACUUGCUCAGUGGGUUAAGGAUCUGGCGUUGCCAUGAGCUCUUGUGUGGGUUGCAAAUGUGGCUCAGAUCUGGCAUUGCCAUGGCUAUGGUAUAGACCAGCAUCUACAGCUUCAAUUCAACCCCUAGCUUGGGAACCUCCAUAUGCUGAAGUUGUGGCCCUAAAAAGACACACACAGAAAAGAAUAUAUAUUGGGGAUGGAAUAUUCUAUAGGUAUCUAUAAAGUUCAUUUGCUCUAAUGUGUCAUUUAAGGCCAACGUUUCCUUAUUGAUUUUUCUGUCUGGAUAAUUUAUCCAUCAGUAUAACAGGGGUAUUAAUGUGUUCUACUAUUAUUACAUUACUGUCAAUUUUCUCACUUUAUAUUUGUUAAUAUUUGCUUUGUAUAUUUAAAUUCUCCUGUGUUAGGUGUUCAUUUUCCUGGUGGCAGUCCCAGGCCUGGGAUGACUAGUGUGGGUCUCAAAGCAAAGGGUUUCUUCCUUAUGGUGGAUAUCCAAGCUUUUCUCCUUCUUAAUGUGUGUGUGUGGUUUUUUUUUUUUUUUUUCCUUUAUAUCCUUAAUUGUAGAAGAGCUGUUUUGCUGGUCUUCAUGUUGGUUUCAGAGUUGUUCUAUAUGUAGCUGUAGUUUUGGUAUAUUUCUGACGAAGUGAACUCAGAUUCUUCCUACUCUACCAUGUUGAGUCUGCCACUCCCAAAUCUUCUAUUGAUUAAAAAUAAUCAGCCUAAAUCAUUCUUUAUGCCAAGGAGACACAUAUUGGGGUAGCAAAUUUUGCUACCCUACAGUUUCA